Molecule: ribosomal RNA, 1534 nt
Filed under: Salmonella enterica
Lineage: Bacteria; Pseudomonadati; Pseudomonadota; Gammaproteobacteria; Enterobacterales; Enterobacteriaceae
Description: partial 23S ribosomal RNA
Rfam family: Bacterial large subunit ribosomal RNA
Source: RNAcentral
AGACCCGAAACCCGGUGAUCUAGCCAUGGGCAGGUUGAAGGUUGGGUAACACUAACUGGAGGACCGAACCGACUAAUGUUGAAAAAUUAGCGGAUGACCUGUGGCUGGGGGUGAAAGGCCAAUCAAACCGGGAGAUAGCUGGUUCUCCCCGAAAGCUAUUUAGGUAGCGCCUCGUGAAUUCAUCUCCGGGGGUAGAGCACUGUUUCGGCUAGGGGGCCAUCCCGGCUUACCAACCCGAUGCAAACUGCGAAUACCGGAGAAUGUUAUCACGGGAGACACACGGCGGGUGCUAACGUCCGUCGUGAAGAGGGAAACAACCCAGACCGCCAGCUAAGGUCCCAAAGUCAUGGUUAAGUGGGAAACGAUGUGGGAAGGCCCAGACAGCCAGGAUGUUGGCUUAGAAGCAGCCAUCAUUUAAAGAAAGCGUAAUAGCUCACUGGUCGAGUCGGCCUGCGCGGAAGAUGUAACGGGGCUAAACCAUGCACCGAAGCUGCGGCAGCGAACGUAUCACCCAAGACAACUUUACGGAGUUGACGAUUGACGGAGCGAAGCGACGUCAAAGCGUUCAUUAAAGUCGAGUUGGCUUAGGGAUACGUUCGUUGGGUAGGGGAGCGUUCUGUAAGCCUGCGAAGGUGGCCUGUGAGGGUUGCUGGAGGUAUCAGAAGUGCGAAUGCUGACAUAAGUAACGAUAAAGCGGGUGAAAAGCCCGCUCGCCGGAAGACCAAGGGUUCCUGUCCAACGUUAAUCGGGGCAGGGUGAGUCGACCCCUAAGGCGAGGCCGAAAGGCGUAGUCGAUGGGAAACGGGUUAAUAUUCCCGUACUUGGUGUUACUGCGAAGGGGGGACGGAGAAGGCUAUGUUGGCCGGGCGACGGUUGUCCCGGUUUAAGCGUGUAGGUGUGUGUUCCAGGUAAAUCCGGUUCACUUUAACACUGAGGCGUGACGACGAGGCACUACGGUGCUGAAGCAACAAAUGCCCUGCUUCCAGGAAAAGCCUCUAAGCAUCAGGUAACAUCAAAUCGUACCCCAAACCGACACAGGUGGUCAGGUAGAGAAUACCAAGGCGCUUGAGAGAACUCGGGUGAAGGAACUAGGCAAAAUGGUGCCGUAACUUCGGGAGAAGGCACGCUGACACGUAGGUGAAGUGAUUUACUCACGGAGCUGAAGUCAGUCGAAGAUACCAGCUGGCUGCAACUGUUUAUUAAAAACACAGCACUGUGCAAACACGAAAGUGGACGUAUACGGUGUGACGCCUGCCCGGUGCCGGAAGGUUAAUUGAUGGGGUCAGCGCAAGCGAAGCUCCUGAUCGAAGCCCCGGUAAACGGCGGCCGUAACUAUAACGGUCCUAAGGUAGCGAAAUUCCUUGUCGGGUAAGUUCCGACCUGCACGAAUGGCGUAAUGAUGGCCAGGCUGUCUCCACCCGAGACUCAGUGAAAUUGAACUCGCUGUGAAGAUGCAGUGUACCCGCGGCAAGACGGAAAGACCCCGUGAACCUUUACUAUAGCUUGACACUGAACAUUGAGCCUUGAUGUGUAG